This 1612-nucleotide long non-coding RNA is filed under the name Acanthaster planci (crown-of-thorns starfish). RNAcentral's name for it is "uncharacterized LOC110979671, transcript variant X1". The record is from RNAcentral. Lineage: Eukaryota; Metazoa; Echinodermata; Asteroidea; Valvatida; Acanthasteridae.
UAAUUGGAAAAGGCUCUGCUGAACUUGGGAAAAGAUACAGAUCUGAUUUUAGCAAGAAACGAAUGAAUAACCAUGGCAUGGCUCCACAAAUGUACUCUGUUCAGUCCAUAUUUAGGGCCCUUCUACUACGUUAAUGUGUAUGUCUUUUAUCGGCCGAAAAUUGUGAAAAUUUCACGAUAAAGUUAGGCCUAAUCCCCAGUCAGCUUGUCUACGUGGCCGGGGCGACUGUCAUCCAUUCACAUUUGAGAAGACUUCUCAAGGGCCCAAUUAUCAUGCCAUGCUGCCAACUAGUCGUCCAUAAGACUGCACAUGGCAAGCCUUUCUGUCUACCAACCAGCCAGUAAUCUUGAACCAAGACAUGCUAGAAAAACCAGCAAAUAGCCAGUCAUCGGCAGGCUUUAAAGGGUGCACUAACCGUGCACUGGACUAGCACAGAGAAGAUGUUCAAGAAAGAAAUCCACAUAUUGCAGCGUGCCACACGAAGUUUCACUUUUUCAAACAUGCUGAGGUGCCAGUAAAAAAGGAGUGGAAUUUUCUCUCUGCACGUUGAAUUUCUGUGCUGUCCUCUUUCACGGCAAAGGCAACACUAAAAGUACCUUCUCAACGUUUACAUGCUAACGAGGUUCUGCGUGGCAGUCAUUAUUCUGAAAUAAAGAAUGGAGACAGUAGCUCUUCUAAACCCCAGCAACAAGCACUAACAGAUUAAGGUCACCAGACAAGGAAGCGUUUUCGGCCAGUUGGUUCGUGUCACUGAGACCUCUACAUUGAACAUAAGAUGUCCCCAGUAGCUACGUCAGUGCCUGUUUGGGCCUUUCUGUUUGACGACAAGAAGCUUUCAGGUCAUGCAGACAUCUAGGAGGACGAAGGAGCAGGAAAGGACUCGAACUUAACUGCAACUCAUUUCUAAUUAAACAAAAUGAACAAAUUAAUGUUACAUUAGCUGAAUCUUUCAAUUUCUAAUAAUAUCAGUUAAAUAAGUCAAAGGGAAUCAUGAGACAUACUUUUUCUGCACUAUGCACAAGUAUCGAUUUUUUUUUAACGGAAAGAAUUUAAUAUUAUCAAUUGUUGGUUUACAUGUCAAUCUUAAAUCCUGGGAAAGGUAAUCCGUGCCUAGCUUUAAAUUUGAAAAUUUGCUCGGAAAGAAUUCCACACUUGCCUCUGUGAACAUUUAGCCUCACCAACAAUUUUUUUAAACGACGUCUGUUAUUUUUAAGGUUUUAGAAGGGACAGGUUUUUUUAAGGUAAUGAAACUCAGAAGUUGGGAUACUGGCGUCUUUCCAUUUUCUUUAAACUCGAAACCAUUUUACUGGCACUUGCAGCUCCAUUGAAUAAGGAGGGCAAACUCAAUUUGAGAUUAAUUGGCCGAAAUCAGAAAGCUUGUCAGGGAAUGCCAUUUAUCUGCAGUAGUAUUUCACAGGGGCCAAGUCCAGUGCAAUUUUUGCUUCAGCAAUAAAAUGAGGCAAAGACUCAAAGAUAUGCAGCCUUCUUCCCUUUUUUGUAGCUUUUUGAGAAUGGAUGCAGUACACUGAUUAUUGAAUGGGUCGGUCUGUUUGAGUAAACGGUAAAUAUUAAAUUCCACACACGGACGCUGCUUGACACCCUGUACACGAAA